AAAUUGAAGAGUUUGAUCAUGGCUCAGAUUGAACGCUGGCGGCAGGCCUAACACAUGCAAGUCGAACGGUAACAGGAAGCAGCUUGCUGCUUUGCUGACGAGUGGCGGACGGGUGAGUAAUGUCUGGGAAACUGCCUGAUGGAGGGGGAUAACUACUGGAAACGGUGGCUA
RNAcentral lists this ribosomal RNA (171 nucleotides) under Salmonella enterica subsp. enterica serovar Infantis. RNAcentral's name for it is "partial 16S ribosomal RNA". It matches the Rfam family "Bacterial small subunit ribosomal RNA", at positions 1 to 165 of the family's 1533-position model. Lineage: Bacteria; Pseudomonadati; Pseudomonadota; Gammaproteobacteria; Enterobacterales; Enterobacteriaceae. The record is from RNAcentral. RNAcentral also lists the same sequence under 13 other names.